AUUAAGCCUGCAUGUCUCAGUAUAAGUCUUUAUAUGGCAAAACUGCGAAUGGCUCAUUAAAACAGUUAUAGUCUACAUGGUGUUUGCUUCUAUAUGGAUAACUGUGCUAAUUGUAGAGCUAAUACAUGCGUCAAAGCCCGACUUCACGGAAGGGUUGUAUUUAUUAGAUACAGAACCAAUCCCGCAAGGGUUUUUGGAUGAUUCAUAAUAAAUGAAUGAAGCGCAUGGCUCCGGCCGGCGCUGUAUCAUUCGAGUUUCUGACCUAUCAGUUGGUCGGUGGGGUAUUGGCCCACCGUGACAGUGACGGGUAACGGAGAAUUAGGGUUCGAUUCCGGAGAGGGAGCCCGAGAAACGGCUACCACAUCUAAGGAAGGCAGCAGGCGCGCAAAUUACCCAAUGCCGACACGGCGAGGUAGUGACAAGAAAUAACAAUGCAAGCCCGCUGGGUUAUUGUAUUUGGAAUGAGUAGAAUUUAAAUCCCUUUACGAAUCAAUUGGAGGGCAAGUCUGGUGCCAGCAGCCGCGGUAAUUCCAGCUCCAAUAGCGUAUAUUAAAGUUGUUGCGGUUAAAAAGCUCGUAGUUGGAUUUCUGUCGGGAAUGGACGGUCCACACNCUGUGUGAGUAUCUGUAUCAGUCCUGGCAUUCCUCCUAAAGAACGUACUGCUCUUAACUGAGUGGNGCGGAAUCUAGGACUUUUACUUUGA
Molecule: ribosomal RNA, 703 nt
Filed under: uncultured eukaryote
Lineage: Eukaryota
Description: SSU rRNA
Rfam family: Eukaryotic small subunit ribosomal RNA
Source: RNAcentral